UUUGGUUUUAUUUAAAGUGAGAGAAAGUAUUGUAAGCAGCGCCAGCUGGGUUUUCUCAACUAGUUUUAACUCUCCCAAUUUUCUUCUUUUACUCUCUUUCUCCCCUCAAAAUUUUCCUUUUGUAGAUGAACCAAUCUUUAGACUCAUCACCUUCAAAACCUUAAUGAUUAUUCAAGAUUUCAUUUAAGUUAUGAUGUAAACAUUGAGGAACAAAAAAAGAGUGUAAAACUUAGCCUUUUUUUCUUUGCAAAAACAACCUUUUAUCCCCCCUUUCUUGAUGGGUAGUGAAGUUGAGGAGGAAUAUAAAAAGGAGAAAUAUGAAACUUUGGUAUUUAGAGAGAAAAAUGGUUUGCACAAAAUCAAUACUUUCACUCAAAACUCUUCCGUUUUGGUUGGUUUUAGUUGUGAAAGUCUCUGUUCUCAUGUCUUCUUCUUAUAAGUGAAACAAACAAACAAAAAAAGACGAGAACCCAAAAUUUAGCUUGCUCUUAGCAUCACUUUCUCAGCUCUGUUUCUCAGUUUUUGUACAGUUACUCUGCUCACUAAAUAAGCUUAAGAAUUCAAGAACUGAACUUUGAUCCCAAAAAAAGAAACAAAUAUAUUGAACUUUGGUUUUCAAGGACUGAUCAUCAAUUAUGAAAAGACCUUGUAGUUCUGAUUCAUUGGGUGCUUUGAUGUCCAUGUGUCCAAAUACUACAGGUACUUGUUAUAAUUUGCUUAAAGUUUGGAACUUUUUUUCUUUCCUUUUUAAUGGUAUUUUUUAUUUAUUUUAUUUUUCAUUUUUUCAUGUUUUCUUGUCUAUAACCCUUUUCCAAGCUCCAAUUUCCAGUUUUAGCUAUAAAGAAACUAGUGGAGUAAUAUAAAAAUUGAAUCAUUUUAUUAAAUCAAGAACAGGGUUUUUUUUACCUUUCCUGUUUUAGUAAGUUUUUUGUGCUUCACUCUUUAUACCAUUGUCUGUUCAUAUCUUUCCAUUUUAGCUUUCUUCAAGGCAAUUAUGUUCUCUUUAUCUCAUGUCUUUUUUUUUUCCUCAUAAUUCUUUUUAUUAUUUUAGAUGAGCAAAACCAUAUGUAUUCAACAAGGGAUUUUCAGUCUAUGUUAUUAGAUGAAGAAGGAUGUAUUGAAGAAUCUGGUCAUGUUUCUGAGAAGAAAAGGAGACUAAGUGUUGAACAAGUAAAAGCUUUAGAGAAGAAUUUUGAAGUUGAAAAUAAGCUUGAACCUGAAAGGAAAGUGAAGUUGGCUCAAGAACUUGGUUUGCAGCCUAGACAAGUUGCUGUUUGGUUUCAAAACAGACGUGCUCGUUGGAAAACAAAGCAAUUAGAGAGAGAUUAUGGUGUUCUUAAAGCCAAUUUUGAUGCCCUCAAACAUAAUUAUGAGUCUCUCAAACAUGACAAUGAAGCUCUCUUGAAAGAGGUAAUAUAAUGAGUUUAACUUAUAUACUCGGAUAGUGUAACGAUUUUUAGCAUAGUAGUUUACUUAGUAGAUAAAUAUAUGAAACUAUUCAUAAAAAGCUAUAUUGGUAACCUCAAUAAAAUUCUUUCUUGUUAUAACAUGUUAGGAAAUCAUGUAAAAAUUCUUUAUACUAUAAGCAGGGGCGGGGAGCUAGAAGCUUAGGUAUGAGUUCAUUCCAACCUAGUAACUUUUGUUCGAACAGUAUAUUUGUAUUACGAAAUUUAUUAAAUAUAUACAAAUAUUUAAUUUAGAACCUAGUUAUUAGUUGUCUUUUAAAAUUCAGAACCCAAAAAAUUGAAUUCUUGGCUCCACAUAAGUUAAUAGUUAAUUCCUGAUAUAAAACAUAUAGCAUAGGUAGAUUAAGUUCUAUGCCCUUAUGUUAUACACAUAUUUAUAAAAUCAAGUUACUUAUUAGAUAAUUACGUGAUUUGUAUAAGCAUUAAUUGGUGACCUGAUAAAAACAGUUAGUUUACUAUCAUUAAACUUUAGUGUAAAAAUCUUUACUUUUUGUUUAUAACUUAAAUCUAUUGUGUAAAAGUACUAGAUAUGUACAUAAAAGUUUGAAUCUUUUAAGGGUUUUUGUGCUGAUUUUUGUGUCUUUUUUCAUGGGGUGUUUAUAGAUUCGUGAGCUGAAAUCAAAGGUGUAUACUGAGAAUGGAGAAAACAGAGGUGUUGCAGUGAAAGAAGAGGCUAUGGAAUCUGAAAGUGAUGACAACAAAGUGAUUGAGCUGAGCAAGCCAAAUGAUAAUGACAUCAACAACAAUAAUCUUCUUGAAAAUUUUGAAGAAGAAGAAGAUGAAGAAGAAGAAAUCAACUUUGAGAACUUUAAUGCUGCUGCUGCAUCUACCAAUAUUUUUGGUGAUCAUUUCAAAGAUGGAUCUUCAGAUAGUGAUUCAAGUGCAAUCUUGAAUGAAGAUAGCAGUCCAAAUGCUGCUGCUAUUUCUUCAUCUGGUGCUUUCUUGAUUUCAACUAAUGGAAAUGGAAGUGGAAGUUCAAAAUCUUCAACUUCAUUGAAUUUUUGCUUCCAAUUCACAGAAUCAAGUUCAAAAUCAAAUCUUGGAGAUGGCCAAAAGGGUAAUAAUUAUUACCAGCCACAACAGUAUGUGAAAAUGGAGGAGCAUAAUUUUUUCAAUGGUGAAGAAUCUUGCAGUACUCUUUUCACAGAUGAACAAGCUCCUACACUUCAAUGGUACUGUCCUGAGGAUUGGAAUUGGAAAGAAUCUUGAUUUUAUGUUUCACUUCAGAAGAAGGCCAAGAAGAAUAAAGGAAAUGUCUUUUGGGAACAAAAUUUUGUAUAGUGGUUAAAAAUGCAAUCAUCAGUACAGUAAAUGGCCUAAUGGGUAAUAUUCAAAGAUGAAAAAAGAAAAACUGAAGUUUUUGGAUUUUGCCCUGUUGGGGGUGGGAGUGGAGGAGGGGGUGGGUGGUAGGGGUGAGGAAGAAGGAAGUGUGUGGAUUGGGGUAAAGGCUGUGACUUUUGCAGGGAUGAUUUGGUAGUAAUUGAAGUCUUCACAAAGAUCUGAUCUUUUUUACUGUUUAGAGGAGAGUGGAAAAAACUAAGUGAAAAAGGGAAAAAGAAGGAUUUAAGAGAAUCUAUGAUGAUAAAUGAUGGUGAGAAAAAGCUUCCUGUAAUGGCAAAUAAAAGUGGCAAAAAGUAUAUUCAUGCAUUCUUUGUGUUUUAAUAGUUUUUUCCAAUGCAUUAAUGGAAAAUAAAAAUCAUUAUGCAUACAUUACUUAGGUAUGACUUUGGCUUCUAAAUUCUAGUUAAACACAAUUUUAUAAGAAAACUUAGAAACUCUUAAUUAAACAUGGAGAGAUUUAAGUCAUUUCACCCUUGGUUGUCGCUCUUGAUUGCCACUUUCACACUUUUAUCCUUCUUUCUACUAUAAAAAAGAAUUCAUUUCUUUGUUUUGUGAAAAAAUUAAAUAUAAUAGAAUUAAAUUAUAUGAUCAUUAAAAAUAUGAAAAACUAUAAUUUGUAGUACUUUUGUGUUGAUGAAAUUCGAGUGAAUCAACAAUGGAAUCCCUAAUCUGAUAGUAUCAUAACAGAGGUUGAGAGAGGAGAAGAAGCAAGAGUGUUGUAUUGAAAUGACUAAUGUGUAUUGUUACAUUGAGCUAACCACCUACAUAUUGACAACUAAUUUUCACUAACUUCCUAAUCACUCCCCCUUGUGGGUGCAAAGACAUUGAUCACUCCUAGCUUGCCGACUAGAUACUCAUGUUGUGGUCUUCCUAAUCCUUUAGUUAGAAUAUCUACUAGCUGCUCCUUUGAAGAAAUAUACUGAGUUUUCACCGGCCCUUCCUGUAUCUUCUGUCUAAUAAAAUGACAGUCGAUCUCUAUGUGUUUUGUUUUUUCGUGAAACACUGGAUUUGCUGAUAUAUAUUUGCAUAGCAGCCUUGCUAUCACUAUGCACAUGUAUUGGCAGUUUCACUUCUGUUCCCAACUCCUUUAGCAAUGCCGUUAGCCAAACAACUUCUGAGACUGCACUGGCCAUGCUUCUAUAUUCAUCUUCAACUGAGCUUUUAGAGACUGUAUUUUGUUUCUUGGAUUUCCAUGAAACUGGAGAUUCUCCAUACUUAAUUAGAUAUCUUAAUACUGACUUUCUAGUGUUUGGGCACGAGGCCCAAUCAGCAUCGCAGAAAACAUUGAUCUCAUUUGAACUUUGACUGCUCAAUAAGAUCCCUAGUCCUAGUUCCCUUUUGAUGUACUUUACCACUCUUAUAGCUGCAUCCCAAUGAGAUUUCUUUGGCUGUUGCAUGAAUUGGCUAAGAGUUUGUACUGAGAAUGCAAUGUCUGGUCUGGACAUAGUCAGAUACAAUAGCUUUCCAAUUAGCUUCUGAUAUUGGCAUGCAUCUUCCAACAUUUGAUCUCAUGUUGUGCCCACCAACUGGUCCAAUUCUGGAACUGUCAGCUUGACAUUUGCCUCUAAUAGUGUCCAGGCUAGUUUUGCUCUACCUAAUCCCAAAUCUGAUAUUAUUUCUAGUGCAUAUUUUCUUUGGUUGAUCAAAAUACCCUUGUUGAAU
RNAcentral lists this long non-coding RNA (4469 nucleotides) under Nicotiana tabacum (common tobacco). RNAcentral describes it as "long non-coding RNA (NTAB_LNC018898)". The record is from RNAcentral. Lineage: Eukaryota; Viridiplantae; Streptophyta; Magnoliopsida; Solanales; Solanaceae.